GACGAACGCUGGCGGCGUGCUUAACACAUGCCAGUCGAACGGAAAGGCCCUGCUUGCAGGGUACUCGAGUGGCGAACGGGUGAGUAACACGUGGGUGAUCUGCCCUGCACUUCGGGAUAAGCCUGGGAAACUGGGUCUAAUACCGGAUAGGAGCCAUUUUUAGUGUGAUGGUUGGAAAGUUUUUUCGGUGUAGGAUGAGCUCGCGGCCUAUCAGCUUGUUGGUGGGGUAAUGGCCUACCAAGGCGGCGACGGGUAGCCGGCCUGCGAGGGUGGACGGCCACAUUGGGACUGAGAUACGGGCCAGACUCCUACGGGAGGCAGCAGUGGGGAAUAUUGCACAAUGGGGGCGAGCCUGAUGCAGCGACGCCGCGUGGGGGAUGACGGCCUUCGGGUUGUAAACUCCUUUCGCUAGGGACGAAGCUGUUUGUGACGGUACCUAGAUAAGAAGCACCGGCUAACUACGUG
This 465-nucleotide ribosomal RNA is filed under the name uncultured bacterium. RNAcentral describes it as "partial 16S ribosomal RNA". It matches the Rfam family "Bacterial small subunit ribosomal RNA", at positions 28 to 507 of the family's 1533-position model. The record is from RNAcentral.